Molecule: unclassified non-coding RNA, 252 nt
Filed under: Hevea brasiliensis (rubber tree)
Lineage: Eukaryota; Viridiplantae; Streptophyta; Magnoliopsida; Malpighiales; Euphorbiaceae
Source: RNAcentral
UUUUGGUUGCAAAUACUUUUAUUUUGGUAAUUUGCUUCUGGUUUUUCAUGGAUUGUAUUAGUUCCGAGUUGAGAUUGAGAUAAAGGAAGGGAGAUGGAUUUUUGGGUGUUGUUCUUUAUGUUCGACCCUGUGUUUCAUGGGUACUGGUAUUUCUGAAAGUUGAUAUGCUUGAUUGUUUUGAUAUUGGGAUUUAUAUUGGUUCAAUUUUCUAAGUUUUGUAUGUUACUGUUGGAUGAGUUUGGUGGUUUUGAA